GGGCAAGUGGCGGAACUGGUUAUACGCGUAGGUCUCAAAAACCUAUGGGAGCAAUCCCGUGUGGGUUCGAGUCCCACCUUGCCCACCA
RNAcentral lists this transfer RNA (88 nucleotides) under bacterium. RNAcentral describes it as "tRNA-Leu". It matches the Rfam family "tRNA". From Rfam's summary of the family: Transfer RNA (tRNA) molecules are approximately 80 nucleotides in length. Their secondary structure includes four short double-helical elements and three loops (D, anti-codon, and T loops). The record is from RNAcentral.